CCUUCCGCGCCGCCUGCCAACCGCCUUCUGUUGGGCCCUAGGAAUGUACAGCCCGUUUGGGAGAGAGACGACCAACCGCCCAAAAAGACUCAGAGUCCAGAGGCUUGAUGCAAAAGGGCAGGAGGUUUUAUUUCCAGCGCAGCCCAGGGGCGGACAACAUCACCGAGCUAGGGGAGCUGCCGCGCCACUUUCAAGCUUGGGGGGUUUUUUAUAAGCUAAAACCGCAGCCGGUGGUUAGGGAGUUUAGGGUGGGGAAAUUCCACUGGUUUUGUCUUGUAUAACUGGUUGCACUUAGUUCCUGGAACUUGUAACAGCUAUAACAGCUAUUUCCUGGAAGGGCGGAAGGGGUGUGGGGUCUUGGUUUUCUAAAAGCAAGCGUGGUUACAGAAGCAGAGAGCUGGUUAGGCUAGUUUGGGGUCUUACACCCUCACUUUGAGAGAGAACAGUUUGUCACUCCUUGGUUGCAUCCCGACAAAAUCUCAGCUUCAGCUUAGGUUUAGACUAAGAUCAUCUGUACAACCCCUCAUUUUGCUGAUAUUUUUAAAGCAGAAAAAAGUUAUUAUUACAUCCAACUAUUGGCCAAGAGUGAGAAUGGGUUUUAAUAUUCAUUUUUUCUUAGUCUAAGUAACCUGUGCUCAAGGUCAUUCUUAACCAAUGAUUAUCUCAUACCAGAUUAAUCCAUCCAUCCCCCAUCCAUUCACCCAUUUCAGUUAGUCAACAUUUUGUUGAGUAACUACUAUGUGCCACUCACAAACCGAUUUCUUGCUUUUCCCAGCCACAAUAGUUAUUUAGGUAAAAACAUCUGAUCAAGAAAACACAUCUUUUUGACAUUUUCAUUCAUCCCAGUGACAUAUGGAAUCAGCUGCAUCACAAAACACAGCUACUCCGCAAAAAUCAGUUUUUAAAACAACCAAAGAAGCAACUCCACUCUGCAGUCAGUAAGUGUAUCCCUGGGCUCAGUCAGAGUUUUCUGAAGAAUAUGAUUUCCAAAUCUUUCAAAGCAAUUUUUAGUUGUGGAGUACAAAGUAUAACUAUAUUUCUUAAAAACACACAAAAGAAAGAAAAGAAGGGAUAGAGAAAGAGGCGAGGGCAUUAUAGAUGUCCCUUUGCUAAGGCCCCUUUGCUCCCUGUGCCUGUCGGUGCCCUCCCUUCUCCCUAAGGCUACCAUCGUUGUGAGGGCCCUGAUUUGCUUUUCCGGAGAUCGUGCCUUUCGAGUGUCUGUUACUGUCACAUCUGAGUGACAGCUUGCUGCAGCAUGACAGAUUAGGAGUUGCGCACAGCCCUGAGAGCUGAGGACAGAGGAGCUGGCAGCAUCUCACUCAGCCUGUGGGGUUCCGGGGGUCCAAAGGCAGCCACACUCAGGAGAGCGGGGGCAGCAGGAGGGGAAGGGGAGGCAGGAAAUGUGUGAGGGUGGGGUGACGCUGCAGGAGGAGGAGGUCCCCUUUGUGGGUGCGGAGGAAAGGCUGCCCAUCAGAGGACCGCCCCACGCUGUCCCUCUUUGAUCAGCUGCACAUGGAAUCUGAAGGAGGGGGACAGAAGCCCCCACAAAAUCACAGAGGCCAGGACGUGAGCAAAGCCACCCUGCCAGGGGACUGAGGAGGAAGUUCUCCCACCUGAAAGCCAACCCCCCAGAGGAAUAAAGCGGGGUACCACUAACUAAAUAAAUCAGAACAGAAGCAUGUGAAAAGGGGCAGCGAGCAGGGCGGAACGAGAAGCCGACAGGCGCAGCUGUCCGUGCAGAACACGCUCACCGCCUCAGGUGCAGGAUGUGCUCUGCUCUUCAAGAACGUCCACCUGUUUCCUCAUUCGGUCCUCACAGCAACCCUGCAAGGUCAACAGGACAAGCCCCAUUUCCCAGAAGAGGGCACUGAGCUGGGACAUGGCAAGGCUGCUGGUACCUGCUAAUCCAGGGAGAUUGUUCUAUGUGAUGAUAUGCAAAAGACAGUAUGAAAAGACAACAAGGAUAAAGCUAAGAGGGUUGAGAUGCCUUCCACUGUGUGUUUCUGUUGGAGGCUUGUUGCAAGUAGAGGCUGGGGCCAGUUGUAUAGAUGAUGACACCCAUCAUCUCUGGCCGCCUGGCAUCCAUCCCUUGCCCGGUAUCCUGCCCCUUUCCCUUGGGAAUUGCCUCCGGCCCCUCCUCACUGAGGGCAGUCUUGGUGCAAAGUAAUCUCAGAUGAUUGCCUUUCACUGCAGAGAUUAAGGGAGCCAAACUCAUCCCAGGACAGCUAGAGUGGUGUUCUCUCCCCAAACUUUGAAUCUUGAGAAAGUGCUCAAACCAAAAGCACAGAUGGCUAGAGGCCAUUCAUCAUGGCAGUGGGGGAGGUGGUCAUGGCCAUGACAUUCACACUUGAGAUAGAACAUCUAUUAUAUCUUUCCCAUAAAUCUCUAUUUGUAUAAAGAGGCCAAAGUUGCUUUCUGUUGCAUGCAGCCCAGCACCCUAACUGAUGCAAAGGAUUAACAGACUUAAACCUUUCAAAGCUCCAGCCCCAUACUUAGUCACCGAGCCCCUAAGUACACAUCCAAGGAAUUGGAAAGGGAGCAGAGAGGGAUGAGUCUUCCUCGCAGACACAAGCGAGCAGAUCCUGAACAUGGCAGACGUUCAGUAGUCAUCGAAUCAUAACGAGAGUUCUUAGAGCCUCCAGAAUGGUGGACUGCUGGCUGCUAUAAUUUUUCCCUCCAGCGCUGUCAGCUCCCAGAGGAGGCUGCAGACAGCAAAUGUGGAAGUCUUUCCUGGAUCCCACCCCUGAAAGUAUAGAUCCUCUCCUGGAACCUGAAGGCCAGGCCAUAAGCAUGCCGGAGUCCACACCGAAAUGCUGCAGCCUGAGACCCCAUUAUUAAUGCUGCUGAUUUCAGGUCCAUUUCCUAUCUGCAAGGAACAUUUUUUUGUUUGCCUUCUUUUCAGAUUGAAAAGGUCUAAAUUGAUAAGCAAUGAUGCAUGUCGUUUUUGGCCAAUUGCUCACACCAGCAAAAAAUGUCUAAGAUAAGAAUGACAAAAAUAGUAACAAUGCCACUGUGACCUUUUAGCAACAUGAAGGAAAUCACUCUUCAGCAGGGAUUUAUUUUCCAGCUUUUAUGUUUUUUGACCACAGAAAAUAAAGAAAGCAUUCCACCCUACCCUUUAAUUCAUGUUUGCCCCAUUCAGUUUCUAUUUCCUGGUAAAUUAAAUAGAUGCAAUUUACAGGCUUUUUUUCCUUUCCCAGCUCCUGUGAGCUCUGUUUUAAAAAGCCUCUCAACUCAUACUCUACUCCUUCCUCCAAAUCUCUAACCUUGCUUUUCAAAAGAGACCUUAAAUAGAGACUGUUGACCUAGAGUAAGGUAUCUUGCACACAGUAGGUGCUCAAAAAAGGCCGAGUUGGAUUAAAUUGAAGCACUGCCAGAUCCUUGUCUUGGUCUUAGCCUGGUGAAGAAUUACAGAAUAGGGGAAAUGUGCUGAUCACAACUUGCCUCCCCAGUCUAGUUUCUUCUCCACGUUUGCUACCCGAGGCUUGAAACUGAGAACCCGGCUUCGGUCAGCAUCCUCGGAAGGGCUCUCGAGAGGGACGGGCUCCUUCUCCCUAAGUGCUGCACUGGGAGUGAAGCACAAAGCCCAAUCUGCACCUGCCGACACCGAGCCUGUGAGUGACAGAGGGGACCUUCUGAUGGGGCCAUCCUGGCGGGGCCUAGAGGUAAGAAGGGAGUCGCAUACUUGCAAAAUGAGAGCAGGGACCAAGCAGGCUACCCAAAGCCUUUGAAGUCACAAAAUUGGUCAUGAACCGAAUAGCCGUUGCUUUGUGCCCCUCCCCAUGAGCAGCGCUGCUCGGUGCGGUCCAGCCACCGCGGGCGGCCUACGGCCCCAGGCCUCAGCGGGAGCCUCCACGCUGCCCGCUGGCCUUCUUGGACCUCAUUUUUAUCUCUUAGCGGCUGAGGUUCAACACACACGUGUGUGCUCACACUGACGCCACGUGGGGUGAGUGAGACACGACACCGCGGCCAGCUCCGCCUCGACUCCGCUCCGGAAGCGACAGCUGUCAGCUAGCGAGAGGGGCUGCCUCAGCCGAGGGCCACGUCUCUGCUUCUGUUCCACACCCCAAGGAGCUGCCACCAGCCACGGCGAGAAAGAAGUGUGACACGCGAUGGCGCCCGGCGAGACAGCCCUUCAUUAAGCAGCAGAGUGUCUUCCCUCUCUGUGGGGAACGCCUUAGCAAACGUCAGACUCUGCGUUUGGGUAACAGCUGAAACACCUUUCCUUAAAGAAAACCUAAAUGCAAAAGCUUAUUCGAAACAACACCCUAAGGGAGUCCUUGGCUACCUACGCCCAGGCCGUGGGUUUGCGCCAGCCCUGCCUCCCCUCAAAGGGAGGCCGCGGUCAGGCCCGUCCACAGCUCCCCUUCCCGGAGUCAAAGGCCAGGGAGCAGCAGUCUCCGCGCAGACCGGUCUCGGAAGGCCUGGGAGCGAGGGCCAGCCGACUCGCCAAGGCCUCUGCGCGCCGAGGCUCUCCUGGGCUCCCAUGGGACACCUGUGAGUGGAGCUGCAGCUCUUGGUCCUGCCCUGAGUCGAUUCUGCAAAUGUUUUAAUUGAUUCAAAGACAACUGAAACUGAGUUGGGUGAUUUUGACAUCAAUGAAUAUACUCCGAUAAAGUUAGCAGAAAGGGAUUUUGAGUUAAGCGCAAGGGCAAAAAAGAGCUCAGCCGUUACACUUUCUGCUUUAAAUUAUGAUAGAGCCUGCAGGCCAAUGCCCCAGGGCUUAUUACAGCUACUCAGAAGAUGUUAAACCCACUGGGAAAAGCCUCUGGCUCUUGGGGAGAAAUGUGAGUUAGUUGAUGAGAGACGUGGAUCCCCUAGCCAGGGGUCACUGGACUUCCCGUGGCGUGCCUCUCCGCCACGUGGAGGACGGCUGUCGGCGGCGCACCCAACCGGCUAACUUCCAAGCCAAGACCCCACGGAGCCCAGGCACCUGAGAGCGGAGGCUCCUCCAGCCUCGGCCCGCCCUCGCGCUUCCCGAAAGCCUGACUGAGAGAAGACUGCCCUCUCUGAGCGGGCCUUCCGUGGCUGAGCUCGCUGGCUGGCUCCGCCCGCGCCCUGCAGCAGGCUGCAUCCACCGGAAGGGCUUCUGGAAGCUCGCCAGUGUCUCCAACAUCAGAUGUGCACGGGCCUCUUCUCGGGCCGCUGCCGUGGGUCUGCUGCCGUGGGUCUGCCUCUCGGAGCCACUGUCCCCUUGAGCUCCUGAGACACGGCUCCCUCUCAGGUCUCCUUUCCUCUGUUCUGCCUCAAGUCCCUCAGGCCAACGCCCUUUAGGUUUUGAGGCCCUUUGCGGUUCAGCGCGAGACAUCUGGUCUGUAUGUCUGACCGGCGUGCUCUCCCCUUCACCUGCUCACCGCACACGCUCACCGCGCCUGCCCUCUCUCCCAGGCGCCCUCCAGUGCGGGGCGCAACAGUGAACGCAACAGACCAAAGUCCUGCUCCCGUGGACUUGGAUUCCAGUGCCAGGGCUGGCAGAUUUCUGUGAAGGACCAGAUAGUAAAUAUUUUAGGCUUUGCAGGCCAUAUGGUCUCUAUAGAAACUACAGGUCUGUGGCUAUAGCCCAAAAGCAUCCACAGACAGUACAAAAACAGAUGGGCAUGGCUGUGUCCCACUAAAACUUCAGUUAUAAAACACAGGUUGCAGGAAGGAGGGCUUAGGCCUGUUGGGAAAGACAUGCCCUCUUUCUGCUGGAAUGUUUGAGCUGAUGGAAUGAAGCUUGGGGGAUCUUUGUCACAGCACAGGGAGAACAUGCCUGAGGAUGAAGCCGUCCCAGGGGAAGGCAGAGUGGAGAGUCCUCCUGGUUCUCAUCACACGUUUGCAGCACCUGGAUUCAGCCAGGUAGCCACGUAGGAAACCGCGUGCACCUCCUCUCCUGUGCCUUUGGUUAUUUUGAGUCAGUAAACAUUCCUUCCUCCUCCA
Molecule: non-coding RNA, 5919 nt
Organism: Microcebus murinus (gray mouse lemur)
Lineage: Eukaryota; Metazoa; Chordata; Mammalia; Primates; Cheirogaleidae
Source: RefSeq, a predicted model, not a curated record